AGGGAAAGUUGAAUUCCUUAACUAAUGGAAUUCAAUUCCUUACUCAUUUGCAACCAAUCGCAGAAAUGGAUUGGAAUGGAAUUCCAAUUCCAGCCACAUCCCAAGGAAUCCAACAAACCUGUGGUGCACCCACCACUACAUUUCACGUACCAAAGAAAGAAACACAAAAAGAUUCUAAAAGGACAAGGGACCACUAUCACCCAGGAGGAUGUUGCUGACAUGGAGCAGGGGCAAAGUGGGAAUUUAGAGAAAUACUGACAUUCCGUUAUAAGGAUGGGUAGGGAGCCUGGUGAUGGCAUGGAAGAAUAUUAGAAGUUUCUACUUCUCUGGGAGUCCGUAGCAGCUCGAAUUGCUAUUUCUAUUUCAUUCUUUUUCUUAUCAAUUUCUUGUGUAAUCUCUGUUUUCGUUCAUUAAUCCCAGAAGAAGUGUGAAUCCAUCAGUUGUGGUUUUAAUUUAUCUUGAGUGAAUCUGAGUUCAUAACAAAACCAUACUCCUCAUAAUGUAGUUUUCAUAUCAGAGCAUUAUUUGUUCAUAAGUUACAAAAUAAAAUUCGAGGGCGCUGACCUAAAUGCACAGGGUUAGUUUUUAUUUUAUUUUUAAG
RNAcentral lists this long non-coding RNA (601 nucleotides) under Lactuca sativa (garden lettuce). RNAcentral's name for it is "long non-coding RNA (LSAT_LNC000801)". Lineage: Eukaryota; Viridiplantae; Streptophyta; Magnoliopsida; Asterales; Asteraceae. The record is from RNAcentral.